This is a small nuclear RNA of Cricetulus griseus (Chinese hamster), 107 nucleotides long. The record is from Ensembl. NCBI's taxonomy places the organism in Eukaryota, Metazoa, Chordata, Mammalia, Rodentia, Cricetidae.
GUGCUCACUUUGGCAGCACAUAUACUAAAAUUGGAAAAAAUACGAGAAGACUAGCAUGGCCCCUGCACAAGGAUGACAUGCAAAUUCGUGAAGCAUUCCAUAUUUUU